GAAAUCAACAACUUGCCUCUCCACCACUGGCAACAGGCCCAGGGGCUGGGCUCACCUGCCGCUGCUGCAGUUGCUGUUGCUGCUCCAUUUGCAACUUCUCAGUCUCAAAGACAACAGGAAGAACCAGGAUCAUGAAGGAAGUCGUCCCAAUCCACAAGGCUGCCCUGGAAAACCUGCAGAGGGAGUGUGAGCAUGAAAGCGAGACACAAAAACGGGCCCGCUUCACCAAGGAACCAGUAACCAAACCUCUCACGCGCCCAUGUUUUUGACAGGCGUGUUUCUACCCAACCCUUGCACCAUACUCCUACCAGAAACAGGACGAGCAGUUCUGCCGGCCGUUUAUCUCGUGCCAGCAGUUCCAACAUUCUCCUGAGUUCUUACAAAGCUACUUAUACAGCAUAUUAAUUACCUCACAUAAUGCGAAACGAUCCUCCCAACAACCCCGACCCGUAAGAACUGCCACUUUAGGGAAAGGAAAUGGAGACCAAGAAAGGUUAAGGUACCCACCAGCCCAAGGUCACUCAGUGGUCUAGGUGGCGGGCCAACUCCCGUUUGCUACUUCCAAAUCCCAUGCUCAUUCGCGGCACUUCAGUCACCCCAGGCACGCCCCAAUAUCUUUGCCCUCGUCCCUUACCUGUACAUUUUCUGAGCCACAAAGAGGGAGAGAUCAAAAGUCGCUCCAGCCGCGGACCGGACCCUCUCUGGGAACAUCUCCGUCAGACCCCACAGUCUCUCCGACAGGGUCUCAUCUAGCUGUGGUGGAGGCGGCGCGGGUCUUGACCGAAGCAACGGCAACCACCCCCUGGGGCUAGGGCACCCUGCCGCGGCCCAGUGGGGGCCCUAACCCCGCCUCCCGGAGAAGACACCUCCCCCCGACCUCUCCGGGCUCCGCGACGCGCCUUCGUCCGAAUCCCGCAGCACGCGGAGCUCACACCCCCGAGCCGGUCGCUCCCCGCCCGUAACUUCGCACCCCGCCCCACACCGCAGGGCCCCAGUACCUCCUCGUCGUCUUCCUCCUCCAGCUCCUCCUCAGUCUUCUCGGAAUCGCCUUUCGGAAGCAAUUCGUCCGGGGACAGAGGCGCCCCAGGACCGCCGGCGGCGGCGGCGGCGGCGGCGGCGGCCAUGGCUGCAGGGAGACACCGGAAGCGGAAGAGAGGAGGCAAGUGCAGCAUCUCUGGCGGACAGAGGUGCUCUUCCGGGAGCUGGAGGCUGAAGUGCUGCGGAAGAACGACGCCUUCUGGCCGGCGGACUUCGGCUUUCUGCCAAGAACUCAAGGUUUCCUCCUGAAGCCAACUGGAACCAGUCAGGACACUGACCUCCCUUCCCUUAGAGCCCAACAAAAUGCAGUUAACCCUCCCUUACUUCAUAACUUCCUUUAUCUAAUUUUGAGUCACGUAACUCCUCUCCCCUUUACUCAGACCCUUUUCCACUUGUUAAAAAUCCCUGGCUCUCCUGCUUCAGGGAGGCGAACUUGAGGCUUGUCUUCCUGGCUCCUCAUUUGGCUGCAAGAAUAAACUCUUGCCUUGCUGCACCCUUGA
Leptonychotes weddellii (Weddell seal) is the source of this 1538-nucleotide long non-coding RNA. RefSeq lists it as uncharacterized. The record is from RefSeq and is a predicted model, not a curated record. Lineage: Eukaryota; Metazoa; Chordata; Mammalia; Carnivora; Phocidae.